This 408-nucleotide ribosomal RNA is filed under the name uncultured bacterium. RNAcentral's name for it is "partial 16S ribosomal RNA". It matches the Rfam family "Bacterial small subunit ribosomal RNA", at positions 28 to 526 of the family's 1533-position model. The record is from RNAcentral.
GACGAACGCUGGCGGCGUGCCUAAUACAUGCAAGUCGAGCGAAGCGGCGGAUGGGUGAGUUACGCGUUGGUAACCUGCCCCUAAGUCUGGGAUACCAUUUGGAAACAGAUGCUAAUACCGGAUACUAAAGGAUGGACCUGCGAUGCAUUAGCUAGUUGGUAAGGUAACGGCUUACCAAGGCGAUGAUGCAUAGCCGGUUUGAGAGGAUGAUCGGCCACAUUGGGACUGAGACACGGCCCAAACUCCUACGGGAGGCAGCAGUGGGGAAUCUUCCACAAUGGACGAAAGUCUGAUGGAGCAACGCCGCGUGGGUGAAGAAGGUUUUCGGAUCGUAAAGCACUGUUGUUGGUGAAGCGGUAAUCAAACAAAAAGUAACGGCUAACUACGUGCCAGCAGCCGCGGUAAUAC